RNAcentral lists this ribosomal RNA (1342 nucleotides) under Urodontus mesemoides. Its description in RNAcentral is "eukaryotic LSU rRNA". It matches the Rfam family "Eukaryotic large subunit ribosomal RNA", at positions 70 to 1139 of the family's 3401-position model. Lineage: Eukaryota; Metazoa; Arthropoda; Insecta; Coleoptera; Anthribidae. The record is from RNAcentral.
UAGGAUUCCCUCAGUAGCGGCGAGCGAACAGGGAAAAGCCCAGCACCGAAUCCCGCGACCGUCACCGGGCGCCGGGAAAUGUGGUGUUCGGGAGGGUCCGUUUAUCUCGCGGUCGUGCGGCUCGUCCAAGUCCUUCUUGAACGGGGCCACAGCCCAUAGAGGGUGCCAGGCCCGUAGCGACAGCUGCCGAUAGCGAGAGGAUCUCUCCUUAGAGUCGGGUUGCUUGAGAGUGCAGCCCUAAGUGGGUGGUAAACUCCAUCUAAGGCUAAAUAUGACCACGAGACCGAUAGCGAACAAGUACCGUGAGGGAAAGUUGAAAAGCACUUUGAAGAGAGAGUUCAAGAGUACGUGAAACCGUUCAGGGGUAAACCUGAGAAACCCGAAAGGUCGAGGGGAGAAAUUCAUUCGCGUUUCGACUGCCGGCGGAGGGCGCUGCGCGACGGACGGCGUUCGCGUCGUCCGCGCCUUCUGUCCUCUCCGGACCGGCGUUGAACGCGUGCACUUUUCUCCUAGUAGGACGUCGCGAUCCGUUGGGUGUCGGUCUACGGCCCGCGGUGGAGCCCGUGCGUAUUCGUACGCGCGGACCCGCGGUGUUUUCCCGACCGACCCGCUCGACGGUAUAAGAAUGGCGCGGGGCCGCCACUUCAGUUGGCGUUCGGCCCGCGGCAAGCGCGCCGACUGCGUCGAAGAUCGGACCUGGUGCCGGUCUCGACCUUCGGUGACUGUUGGCCGCGCGGAGUACUCGAACAGACCCCGUUGAAACGCCGAUCUGCGACGCUUUAGCUUUGGGUACUUUCAGGACCCGUCUUGAAACACGGACCAAGGAGUCUAGCAUGUGCGCGAGUCAUUGGGACAUAACUAAACCUAAAGGCGCAAUGAAAGUAAAGGUCCGCCUUCGCGCGGAUCUAGGGAGGAUGGGCGGUUCGCCGUUAAAAGUGGCCGCUCCGCACUCCCGGGGCGUCUCGUUCUCAUCGCGAGAAGAGGCGCACCAAGAGCGUACACGCUGGGACCCGAAAGAUGGUGAACUAUGCCUGGUCAGGACGAAGUCAGGGGAAACCCUGAUGGAGGUCCGUAGCGAUUCUGACGUGCAAAUCGAUCGUCGGAACUGGGUAUAGGGGCGAAAGACUAAUCGAACCAUCUAGUAGCUGGUUCCCUCCGAAGUUUCCCUCAGGAUAGCUGGCGCUCGUUGCGGACGAGUCUCAUCCGGUAAAGCGAAUGAUUAGAGGCAUUGGGGUCGAAACGACCUCAACCUAUUCUCAAACUUUAAAUGGGUGAGAUCCCCGGCUUGCUUGAACUCAUGAAGCCGGGGACACGGAUCAGAGUGCCAAGUGGGCCAUUUUUG